RNAcentral lists this ribosomal RNA (253 nucleotides) under uncultured bacterium. RNAcentral's name for it is "partial 16S ribosomal RNA". It matches the Rfam family "Bacterial small subunit ribosomal RNA", at positions 524 to 776 of the family's 1533-position model. The record is from RNAcentral.
UACGUAGGGUGCAGGCGUUAAUCGGAAUUACUGGGCGUAAAGCGUGCGUAGGUGGUUUGUUAAGUCUGAUGUGAAAGCCCUGGGCUCAACCUGGGAAUGGCAUUGGAUACUGGCGAGCUAGAGUGCGGUAGAGGGUAGUGGAAUUCCCGGUGUAGCAGUGAAAUGCGUAGAGAUCGGGAGGAACAUCUGUGGCGAAGGCGACUACCUGGACCAGCACUGACACUGAGGCACGAAAGCGUGGGGAGCAAACAGG